UCAAACCAAAAGCUGGCGACCGGCGCACGGGUGAGUAACACGUAUCCAACCUGCCCCAUACUCGGGGAUAGCCUUUCGAAAGAAAGAUUAAUAUCCGAUAGCAUAUAUUUCCCGCAUGGGUUUUAUAUUAAAGAAAUUCGGUAUGAGAUGGGGAUGCGUUCCAUUAGUUUGUUGGGGGGGUAACGGCCCACCAAGACUACGAUGGAUAGGGGUUCUGAGAGGAAGGUCCCCCACAUUGGAACUGAGACACGGUCCAA
RNAcentral lists this ribosomal RNA (257 nucleotides) under uncultured bacterium. RNAcentral describes it as "partial 16S ribosomal RNA". It matches the Rfam family "Bacterial small subunit ribosomal RNA", at positions 79 to 334 of the family's 1533-position model. The record is from RNAcentral.